GGUCACAGCCAUGUCACCCUGCAGCCCAAGACUGGUUACUCACUGAAGCUAAGCAGGGCUGAGCCUGGUCAGUGUCUGGAUGGGAGACCACUAGGGAACACUAGGUUGCUGUUGGAA
Molecule: ribosomal RNA, 117 nt
Filed under: Danio rerio (zebrafish)
Lineage: Eukaryota; Metazoa; Chordata; Actinopteri; Cypriniformes; Danionidae
Source: RNAcentral